CAAUGUCUAGCUUAAACAUUUCAGAUUGGACAAAUUAUAAAAGAAGAAGAAGAAUUUGCCAUAAUACUACCUUGAUUGACAUUUAUCACAUUGAUCCCAGAAAGCCUUUUGAAUGAUUCUCAUGUUAAUAAUCCAUAACAUAAAUUGAACAAAUAGUGUUGGCUGGAAAAUAUGAAUGACAGAUCACACUAAAUUGAAAGAAUUAAUUAAACAACCUUAAUUGAAGGCUAAUUAACACCCCAAAUGCAUGCAAAUCUAGCUAGCUAGAAUUUACAUGCAAAAUAUUUUGGCAGAUCUGAGAUAGAUUCCUUUACAUUCUCUCAAUCUACGCAUAUACAAGUGCAAAAUACUUGUUCUUGAACCAACGUACCCCAUUCUUUAAAGCGGAUUUAAAUUUGGCUUCAACGACAUAGGACUUGUAUUUGGCUACUCGACGUUGUCUCUUAAGCUCUGAUUGGCUGAAACUGUAGAUUGACGAAGAUUUAUGUGAUGAAUUUUUCUUACUCUCCCACGCAUAACCCUCAUUGUCAAAGCUCCGGUCACCACUAGGCCCAUAGGGUGACACAUAAGUUGACCGCAUCUCGUCCAUCUCUCUCAUCUUUCUCGCCGGCCGAUCAAGGUUGACGAACAAAGAGAGAGAGCGUGAGAAAGAGAUAGACGGAAACUAUUAUGGGAGAGCAAGAGACUUUAUA
RNAcentral lists this long non-coding RNA (692 nucleotides) under Prunus persica (peach). RNAcentral describes it as "long non-coding RNA (PPER_LNC000360)". The record is from RNAcentral. Lineage: Eukaryota; Viridiplantae; Streptophyta; Magnoliopsida; Rosales; Rosaceae.